Long non-coding RNA from Clupea harengus (Atlantic herring), 1140 nucleotides. NCBI's taxonomy places the organism in Eukaryota, Metazoa, Chordata, Actinopteri, Clupeiformes, Clupeidae. The record is from Ensembl.
AUCUAUUUACGAAAUUGUUUUUAAAAGAAACAGGGUAUUUGUUAAAGCUCUAUAUUGACUGUCUCUUUGGUAAGCCUCUGUCCGGCUGGGACAGGCCUCUUUCUACAGACUUUUGUAACAGAACGUCCCUGACUGACCUUUCCUAUGUGGCCCUCCUUUUCUUAUUUCUGUAUUUUUGUAUGGAUGUAUUGUGUGUAUGUGUGUGUUGGUGACUCUAUCAUGGUAAUGUGAACUCUGACCUUUGACCUGUGUGUUAAGCGUAUGGUUAGGUGUGGGGUGGAAAGCCUCAGAGCUCAGUGCCAUAGAGAGGAAUAGUGUGAGGUGAGGGACAUCUCUGUAUAGAGGGAUUAUAGAGUCCACAUGGACACUAUAAAUAACAUUGUGUGUGUGUGUGUGUGUGUGUGUGUGUGUGUGUGUGUGUGUAUGGUGGUGGGUGGGUGGGUGUUUAGCUACCUGUGUAUAGGUGUGUGACUGUGUAUUGUAAAUGUCAGUGAAAAGCAUGUCUAAAAGGCUUAGUGAGGAACAUCUGGCUUUGAGUGAUAAAAAACACGAUUGUUGUGCAUUUUUUUAAUAUUUUGUUUUUAUUUUCUGUUCAGACGUUCCCUUCGAGUCAGACACAGUAGGCUAGUCCUGACCCCACCCUGAUCAAUCAGUGUCUGAUCUUCACUAGAGAGCUGUCUCUCCAGUUGGUAAUGUGUUGUGCACUGGGAGACUAGUGGCUCACAUAAGCAAGAAGCCACCCUAGCGACUGAGUAACUGGGUAAGUUGGUGAGCACGGAGCAAGGUAGACCAAUCAGGUGGCUUGAUCCUUUUGGCUUCUCAACACCAGUGUCAAAAAUGUCACACCCCACUUUUAGUGCUCAACCAACUAACCCUCUUUCAGAUGAAUGAAGCGGGAUGAAUGUGCAAGGAUUGGGGGGGGGGGGGGAGUGUGAUGUGUGUAGUUUUUUGUUGUGGGCAUUUUUAACAUUCUCCUGUUCACCCAGUGUGUGCGAUAUUCAUGUGGAAGCUUUCUGAAGACUCUGUAAAAACAAUACGAUGAAUGUAAUAUAGCAGUCCUAAUCAGCACUUGUAAACAAAGUGUAUUUUACCAUCAAAUAUUAUGAAUAAAUGACAAAGAAUGAAACUCUUGAAUUUGCC